Long non-coding RNA from Ochotona curzoniae (black-lipped pika), 887 nucleotides. RefSeq lists it as uncharacterized. The record is from RefSeq and is a predicted model, not a curated record. NCBI's taxonomy places the organism in Eukaryota, Metazoa, Chordata, Mammalia, Lagomorpha, Ochotonidae. The transcript is spliced from 2 exons.
AUGAAUCAGCACCCAUAUGGGAUCCCGGUGCGUUCAAGAAGUUUCUUCAAUAUCAACAUUUUAAAGAUCCUAGACUCAGAUGGUCUUAAACCUAAUUCCAUCAAAGCAGGUGAUACAGUAAGUUUGUAUAUCAUGCUUCUGAAUUGGAUCAAUAUUUGUGAAAUGUAAUUAAUCAUAUAUAAAAUGUCUUUCACUGUUGCUCCUGUAGAAACAUUUAAUAAAUGGAGAAGGUCAACGUUCCCUCUUUUAAAAGAUGAAAUUCAGAUGAAGUUAGAGAAGACAUAAAACAAGUACUUGAGUAUCUCUCUGACUUGACCUGAGGUUUUACUAUCUGGGUAAGACUGUGUAAUCAAUCCCAUACAUGUUCACAAUGGGGCAGGCCACAAAAAAGCUACAAAGAACUGAAAGAACUAGUUACAUAUUAAAUAUAUAUAUAUAUAUAUAUAUAUUUACUGGCACUGAAAGGGACAUACAUUUUUCUUAUCAUGUUUAACUCUUUUGUGCCCCCACUAGUAUUUCAGCAUUUAUUUUACAUUAAAAAUUUUUCAUUUACUUGUAUUUUGUUUGAGAGAUAAGAUAGUCAUACACAGAGCAAGAGGGAAACACCUUCCACUCACUGGUUCAUUCAUUCACCAAACGCCUCAACAGCCAGGUCUGGGCCAAGUCAAACUAGGGGUCCAAAACUCAGUGGAGGUUUCCUGCAGGGACGGCAGGAAGCCAAGUGCUGGAUCCUCACCUGCGGCCUCCCAGGGUGUUCAUUAACAGGAAGCUGGGAUUGUUACAGGAGAGGAAGCUCGGAGGACCUUGUCUUCAAGCAAGGAAGUAAUUUUUAUUUCUGAAACUAGUCAUAUCAACACUCAGCAGGUCAGAAUGAUCUCAAAACCGAG